Molecule: transfer RNA, 70 nt
Filed under: Catostomus commersonii (white sucker)
Lineage: Eukaryota; Metazoa; Chordata; Actinopteri; Cypriniformes; Catostomidae
Also listed under: 2 other names
Description: tRNA-Arg
Rfam family: tRNA
About the family: Transfer RNA (tRNA) molecules are approximately 80 nucleotides in length. Their secondary structure includes four short double-helical elements and three loops (D, anti-codon, and T loops).
Source: RNAcentral
AGGGUAUUAGUCCAACAUAAGACCUCUGAUUUCGGCUCAGAAAAUUAUGGUUUGAUUCCAUAAUUCCCUU